This 305-nucleotide ribosomal RNA is filed under the name uncultured bacterium. Its description in RNAcentral is "partial 16S ribosomal RNA". It matches the Rfam family "Archaeal small subunit ribosomal RNA", at positions 455 to 760 of the family's 1478-position model. The record is from RNAcentral.
ACAGCAGCAGCCGCGGGAACACCAGCACCUCGAGUGGUCAGGAGGUUUAUUGGGCCUAAAGCAUCCGUAGCCGGUUGCAUAAGUUUUCGGUUAAAUCUAUGCGCUUAACGUAUAGGCCGCCGAAAAUACUGUGCAGCUAGGGAGUGGGAGAGGUACACGGUACUCGAUAGGAAGGGGUAAAAUCCUUUGAUCUAUUGAUGACCACCUGUGGCGAAGGCGGUGUACCAGAACACGUUCGACGGUGAGGGAUGAAAGCUGGGGGAGCAAACCGGAUUAGAUACCCGAGUAGUCCCUGUCUCUUAUAC